UAACGGGGCUAAACCAUGCACCGAAGCUGCGGCAGCGACGCUGAUGCGUUGUUGGGUAGGGGAGCGUUCUGUAAGCCUGCGAAGGUGGCCUGUGAGGGUUGCUGGAGGUAUCAGAAGUGCGAAUGCUGACAUAAGUAACGAUAAAGCGGGUGAAAAGCCCGCUCGCCGGAAGACCAAGGGUUCCUGUCCAACGUUAAUCGGGGCAGGGUGAGUCGACCCCUAAGGCGAGGCCGAAAGGCGUAGUCGAUGGGAAACGGGUUAAUAUUCCCGUACUUGGUGUUACUGCGAAGGGGGGACGGAGAAGGCUAUGUUGGCCGGGCGACGGUUGUCCCGGUUUAAGCGUGUAGGUGUGUGUUCCAGGUAAAUCCGGUUCACUUUAACACUGAGGCGUGACGACGAGGCACUACGGUGCUGAAGCAACAAAUGCCCUGCUUCCAGGAAAAGCCUCUAAGCAUCAGGUAACACGAAAUCGUACCCCAAACCGACACAGGUGGUCAGGUAGAGAAUACCAAGGCGCUUGAGAGAACUCGGGUGAAGGAACUAGGCAAAAUGGUGCCGUAACUUCGGGAGAAGGCACGCUGACACGUAGGUGAAGUGAUUUACUCAUGGAGCUGAAGUCAGUCGAAGAUACCAGCUGGCUGCAACUGUUUAUUAAAAACACAGCACUGUGCAAACACGAAAGUGGACGUAUACGGUGUGACGCCUGCCCGGUGCCGGAAGGUUAAUUGAUGGGGUCAGCGCAAGCGAAGCUCCUGAUCGAAGCCCCGGUAAACGGCGGCCGUAACUAUAACGGUCCUAAGGUAGCGAAAUUCCUUGUCGGGUAAGUUCCGACCUGCACGAAUGGCGUAAUGAUGGCCAGGCUGUCUCCACCCGAGACUCAGUGAAAUUGAACUCGCUGUGAAGAUGCAGUGUACCCGCGGCAAGACGGAAAGACCCCGUGAACCUUUACUAUAGCUUGACACUGAACAUUGAGCCUUGAUGUGUAGGAUAGGUGGGAGGCUUUGAAGCGUGGACGCCAGUCUGCGUGGAGCCGACCUUGAAAUACCACCCUUUAAUGUUUGAUGUUCUAACGUGGACCCGUGAUCCGGGUUGCGGACAGUGUCUGGUGGGUAGUUUGACUGGGGCGGUCUCCUCCUAAAGAGUAACGGAGGAGCACGAAGGUUGGCUAAUCCUGGUCGGACAUCAGGAGGUUAGUGCAAUGGCAUAAGCCAGCUUGACUGCGAGCGUGACGGCGCGAGCAGGUGCGAAAGCAGGUCAUAGUGAUCCGGUGGUUCUGAAUGGAAGGGCCAUCGCUCAACGGAUAAAAGGUACUCCGGGGAUAACAGGCUGAUACCGCCCAAGAGUUCAUAUCGACGGCGGUGUUUGGCACCUCGAUGUCGGCUCAUCACAUCCUGGGGCUGAAGUAGGUCCCAAGGGUAUGGCUGUUCGCCAUUUAAAGUGGUACGCGAGCUGGGUUUAGAACGUCGUGAGACAGUUCGGUCCCUAUCUGCCGUGGGCGCUGGAGAACUGAGGGGGGCUGCUCCUAGUACGAGAGGACCGGAGUGGACGCAUCACUGGUGUUCGGGUUGUCAUGCCAAUGGCACUGCCCGGUAGCUAAAUGCGGAAGAGAUAAGUGCUGAAAGCAUCUAAGCACGAAACUUGCCCCGAG
RNAcentral lists this ribosomal RNA (1648 nucleotides) under Salmonella enterica. RNAcentral's name for it is "partial 23S ribosomal RNA". It matches the Rfam family "Bacterial large subunit ribosomal RNA", at positions 1173 to 2803 of the family's 2925-position model. Lineage: Bacteria; Pseudomonadati; Pseudomonadota; Gammaproteobacteria; Enterobacterales; Enterobacteriaceae. The record is from RNAcentral.